UACAGAGGGGGCAAGCGUUGUUCGGAAUUACUGGGCGUAAAGGGCGCGUAGGCGGCCUGCUAAGUCGAACGUGAAAUCCCCGGGCUCAACCCGGGAACUGCGUCCGAUACUGGCAGGCUUGAAUUCGGGAGAGGGAUGCGGAAUUCCAGGUGUAGCGGUGGAAUGCGUAGAGAUCGGGAAGAACAUCGGUGGCGAAGGCGGCCUGCUGGGAUGUAGCUGACGCUGAGGCGCGACAGCGUGGGGAGCAAACAGG
This 253-nucleotide ribosomal RNA is filed under the name uncultured bacterium. RNAcentral's name for it is "partial 16S ribosomal RNA". It matches the Rfam family "Bacterial small subunit ribosomal RNA", at positions 524 to 776 of the family's 1533-position model. The record is from RNAcentral.